GGAAGGAUCAUAUUUCGAGCUAGGGGGGGGUCCUCCCCCCCUUCGCCGGUACCCUUGUGAACCAUCCCGUUGGCCCCCCGGGACCCCCCGGGAGGGCCGGAACCUCAAGAGCCUGCCUGUCUGAAGCGUUGUCACGGAGAAGAGCGAAAACUUUCAACGACGGAUCUCUUGGCUCUCGCGUCGAUGAAGAACGCAACGGAACGCGAUAAGUAGCGAGAGCUGCCGUCGCGGUGAGCAAUCACCAUGCGGAUCGUCGAAUCUUUGAACGCACAUUGCGCCCCCCUCGGUGGGGGGCAUGCCUGUUCGAGCGUCCCGAGCACCAUCCCGCGAGCCUCCUCGCGGGGCCCUGGGCCUUCGGACCCCCCAGGUCCGUGGUCCGGAAAAGAUACGCAAGCCCCUCUCGCCCGGGGAGGCCAAGCGCCUCCCGGGGCGUUCCCUGCUCCCGGUCCAAGGACACCGGCGGGGAUCGGGGCGUCUCCCGGGCGGCACCCGCCGCCCAUCGACAGGACCUCGAAUCAAGCAAGACCACCCGCUGAACGUAAGCAUAUCAAUAAGCGGAGGAAAAGAAACCAACAGGGAUUCCCCCAGUAGUGGCGAACGAAGAGGGAAGAGCUCGACCUUGGAAUCCUGCCCCGUUUCGGGCCGGGAGUUGUGGGUCUUUGGAGCAUGGCCGGCGGAGCCUCGAGCCGAAGUGCCCUGGGAUGGGCCGUCGUGGAGGGUGAGAACCCCGUUCGAGGCUCGUGGGUCUCCGCCGUUGCGGCCUGCUGCUGUAGAGUCGGGUUGUUUGGGAAUGCAGCCCAAAGCGGGUGGUAAAUUCCAUCCAAAGCUAAAUACCAGCGAGAGACCGAUAGCGAACAAGUAGAGCGACCGAAAGAUGAAAAGGUCUCUGGAGAGAGAGUGAAACAGUGCGUGAAAUCGUUGGAAGGGAAGCGUUUGGCGUCCGACCUCGGGCCUGGGUGGGUGCCCACACCUUCGAGGGUGGGUUCAACCUCCCUGCGGCUGGGUCAGCGUCGGUCCUGGACGUCGUUCAAUGGUCCGGGGGAGGUGGCACCUCCAGGGGUGCUCUAUAACCCCGCGACGGGAUGCGACGGACGGGAUCGGGGGGAAUGGGCUCUCGGGCCCAUCACGUUGGCUUGAAGGCGCUAAGCGACCCGUCUUGAAACACGGACCAAGGAGUCCAACGUCCACGCGAGCGUUUGGGUGGAAAACCCGCACGCGCAGCGAAAGCGAGAAAUGGGCGGGAUCCCCUCGCGGGGUGCACCGUCCGCCGGCCCUAGGUACUCCGAAGGGCUAGAGCGAGAGCGUGGCCGUUGGGACCCGAAAGGCGGUGAUCUAUGCCCGAAUAGGGUGAAGCCAGGGGAAACCUUGGUGGAGGCUCGAAGCGAUUCUGACGUGCAAAUCGAUCGUCGAAUUUGGGUAUAGGGGCGAAAGACCAAUCGAACCGCCUAGUAGCUGGUUCCUGC
RNAcentral lists this unclassified non-coding RNA (1463 nucleotides) under uncultured fungus. RNAcentral's name for it is "sequence contains 18S rRNA gene, ITS1, 5.8S rRNA gene, ITS2, 28S rRNA gene". The stretch from base 506 to 1463 matches the Rfam family "Eukaryotic large subunit ribosomal RNA", at positions 1 to 961 of the family's 3401-position model. Lineage: Eukaryota; Fungi. The record is from RNAcentral.